GAGAAAGAACCCAACCGGGAUUGCCUUAGUAACGGCGAGUGAAGCGGCAAAAGCUCAAAUUUGAAAUCUGGUACCUUCGGUGCCCGAGUUGUAAUUUGUAGAAGGUAACUUUGGGGCUGGUCCUUGUCUAUGUUCCUUGGAACAGGACGUCAUAGAGGGUGAGAAUCCCGUGUGGCGAGGAUCCCAGUUCUUUGUAAAGUGCUUUCGAAGAGUCGAGUUGUUUGGGAAUGCAGCUCUAAGUGGGUGGUAAAUUCCAUCUAAAGCUAAAUAUUGGCGAGAGACCGAUAGCGAACAAGUACAGUGAUGGAAAGAUGAAAAGAACUUUGAAAAGAGAGUGAAAAAGUACGUGAAAUUGUUGAAAGGGAAGGGCAUUUGAUCAGACAUGGUGUUUUGCGCCCUCUGCUCCUUGUGGGUGGGGGAAUCUCGCAGCUCACUGGGCCAGCAUCAGUUUUGGCGGCAGGAUAAAUCUGCAGGAAUGUAGCUUGCCUCGGUAAGUGUUAUAUCCUGUAGAAAUACUGCCAGCUGGGACUGAGGACUGCGACUUUACGUCAAGGAUGCUGGCAUAAUGGUUAUAUGCCGCCCUC
Molecule: ribosomal RNA, 584 nt
Filed under: Torulaspora delbrueckii
Lineage: Eukaryota; Fungi; Ascomycota; Saccharomycetes; Saccharomycetales; Saccharomycetaceae
Description: eukaryotic LSU rRNA
Rfam family: Eukaryotic large subunit ribosomal RNA
Source: RNAcentral